UGCCAGCCGCCGCGGUAACACGAACUGCGCAAACGUUAUUCGGAAUCACUGGGCUUAAAGAGUCCGUAGGCGGCUCGGCAGGUGAGGUGUGAAAUCCCACGGCUCAACCGUGGAAUUGCGCUUCAAACCGCCGGGCUAGAGGGAGAUAGAGGAGAGCGGAACUGAUGGUGGAGCGGUGAAAUGCGUUGAUAUCAUCAGGAACACCGGUGGCGAAAGCGGCUCUCUGGGUCUCUUCUGACGCUGAGGGACGAAAGCUAGGGGAGCGAACGGGAUUAGAUA
Molecule: ribosomal RNA, 279 nt
Filed under: uncultured bacterium
Lineage: Bacteria
Description: partial 16S ribosomal RNA
Rfam family: Bacterial small subunit ribosomal RNA
Source: RNAcentral